AGCUUUGAUCCGUAGAUGUCCGAAUGGGGAAACCCACUCCUUUUGGAGUAUCCAUGGCUGAAUACAUAGGCCAUGCGAAGCGAACGCGGUGAACUGAAACAUCUAAGUAACCGCAGGAAAAGAAAUCAACCGAGAUUCCCAAAGUAGUGGCGAGCGAAAUGGGAUGAGCCUUGCACUCUUUAUUUGUAUUGUUAGCCGAACGCUCUGGAAAGUGCGGCCAUAGCAGGUGAUAGCCCUGUAGGCGAAAACAGUAUGAAAGAACUAGGUGUGCGACAAGUAGGGCGGGACACGUGAAAUCCUGUCUGAAGAUGGGGGGACCAUCCUCCAAGGCUAAAUACUCGUGAUCGACCGAUAGUGAACCAGUACCGUGAGGGAAAGGCGAAAAGAACCCCGGGAGGGGAGUGAAAUAGAUCCUGAAACCGCAUGCAUACAAACAGUCGGAGCCUCGUAAGGGGUGACGGCGUACCUUUUGUAUAAUGGGUCAGCGACUUACGUUCAGUAGCAAGCUUAACCGUAUAGGGCAGGCGUAGCGAAAGCGAGUCCGAAUAGGGCGUUCAGUUGCUGGGCGUAGACCCGAAACCAGGUGAUCUAUCCAUGGCCAGGAUGAAGGUGCGGUAACACGUACUGGAGGUCCGAACCCACUAACGUUGAAAAGUUAGGGGAUGAGCUGUGGAUAGGGGUGAAAGGCUAAACAAACCUGGAAAUAGCUGGUUCUCUCCGAAAACUAUUUAGGUAGUGCCUCGUGUCUCACCUUCGGGGGUAGAGCACUGUCAUGGUUGGGGGGUCUAUUGCAGAUUACCCCGCCAUAGCAAACUCCGAAUACCGAAGAGUGCAAUCACGGGAGACAGACAUCGGGUGCUAACGUCCGGUGUCAAGAGGGAAACAACCCAGACCGCCAGCUAAGGUCCCCAAAUAUAGCUAAGUGGGAAACGAAGUGGGAAGGCUAAAACAGUCAGGAGGUUGGCUUAGAAGCAGCCACCCUUUAAAGAAAGCGUAAUAGCUCACUGAUCGAGUCGUCCUGCGCGGAAGAUGUAACGGGGCUAAGCUAUAUACCGAAGCUGCGGAUGCGUGCUUAGCACGCAUGGUAGGAGAGCGUUCCGUAAGCCUGCGAAGGUGCCUUGUAAAGGGUGCUGGAGGUAUCGGAAGUGCGAAUGCUGACAUGAGUAGCGAUAAAGGGGGUGAAAGGCCCCCUCGCCGUAAGCCCAAGGUUUCCUACGCAACGUUCAUCGGCGUAGGGUGAGUCGGCCCCUAAGGCGAGGCAGAAAUGCGUAGCUGAUGGGAAGCAGGUCAAUAUUCCUGCACCAUUGUUAGAUGCGAUGGGGGGACGGAUCGCGGAAGGUUGUCCGGGUGUUGGAAGUCCCGGUCGCUGCAUUGGAGAAGGCGCUUAGGCAAAUCCGGGCGCGUAAUUCAAGGGUGUGGCGCGAGCUCCUUAGGGAGCGAAGCAAUUGGAAGUGGUUCCAAGAAAAGCCUCUAAGCUUCAGUCUAACGAUGACCGUACCGCAAACCGACACAGGUGGGCGAGAUGAGUAUUCUAAGGCGCUUGAGAGAACUCGGGAGAAGGAACUCGGCAAAUUGGUACCGUAACUUCGGGAUAAGGUACGCCCUUGUAGCUUGAC
Molecule: ribosomal RNA, 1616 nt
Filed under: Burkholderia cenocepacia
Lineage: Bacteria; Pseudomonadati; Pseudomonadota; Betaproteobacteria; Burkholderiales; Burkholderiaceae
Description: partial 23S ribosomal RNA
Rfam family: Bacterial large subunit ribosomal RNA
Source: RNAcentral